GCCGCGUGAGUGAAGAAGGCCUUAGGGUUGUAAAGCUCUUUCAACGGUGAAGAUGAUGACUGUAGCCGUAGAAGAAGCCCCGGCUAACUCCGUGCCAGCAGCCGCGGUAAUAAUCACUAGUGAAUUC
This 127-nucleotide ribosomal RNA is filed under the name uncultured Alphaproteobacteria bacterium. Its description in RNAcentral is "partial 16S ribosomal RNA". It matches the Rfam family "Bacterial small subunit ribosomal RNA", at positions 396 to 540 of the family's 1533-position model. Lineage: Bacteria; Pseudomonadati; Pseudomonadota; Alphaproteobacteria. The record is from RNAcentral.